This is a long non-coding RNA of Mesocricetus auratus (golden hamster), 821 nucleotides long. RefSeq lists it as uncharacterized. Lineage: Eukaryota; Metazoa; Chordata; Mammalia; Rodentia; Cricetidae. The transcript is spliced from 4 exons. The record is from RefSeq and is a predicted model, not a curated record.
GUUCCUGUCUCUUCCAGCCUUAUCUUCCUCUCUCCGCCCAGCCGCAUCACUCCAGUCUCCACUCCGUACAGCUGGGAUUAAAGGCGUGUGAUCCCAAGAGCUAGGACCACCUUUGUAUCAGAACUGGUUCACAGGUGGCAGCUGCACCCCCAAGCCAGGCAGAACCGACAGCUCUCACAAGGACCCUCACCCUGGCCAAAGAGAAACAGGUCAACAUCUAUAGUGACUCCAAGUGUGCCUAUAACAUUAUCCGCUCCGACAUCCUCACCUGGAGACACGGGAUUCCUGACAGCGCCACGGCCAACGCCUCCAUCUACAGAGACUCCUGGAGGCAGUGUUGCUUCCUGACCCAGACUCAGUAGUACACUUCAGGGGACGCCAAGAGGAUAGACAAUUAUCUCCCUGGCUAAUAACACGUCAGCAAAGCAUACAAAGCCAUUACUUCCUCAACCACCACACGGCUCUUCCCGACUGAGGACGACCAACAGGCUGCCUAUUCGUAGUCCUGGAACCAGAUGAGCUCGGAGAUCCUUGAGUAGCUACUUGCUUCUUCAACAAGGUUUUAUCGUUUUUGCUCGUUUUUGGGGGGGGGUGUUUGGAGACAGGGGCCCUGGCUGUCGUGGAUCUCACUCGGUAAACCAGGCUGGCCUGGGACUUAGAGAUCCUCCUGCCUCUGCCUCCCCAGUGCUGGGAUUAAAGGCGAGGGCCACCAAUCAAGGAGCUCUUAAGACAAAAGAUCUAUACUUACUGACCAAAUAACUUUUAAGUUGCCAUUCAGUUAUUUUGUAAAGAAAGCAAAUAAAACGAUCUGUAAGUAUCAA